CCCUUAGAUGUCCGGGGCCGCACGCGCGCUACACUGAAGGAAUCAGCGUGGCUUUCUCCCUGACCCGAAAGGGUUGGGAAACCCGUUGAAUCUCCUUCGUGAUAGGGAUUGGGGCUUGAAAUUGUUCCCCAUGAACGAGGAAUUCCCAGUAAGCGCGAGUCAUAAGCUCGCGUUGAUUACGUCCCUGCCCUUUGUACACACCGCCCGUCGCACCUACCGAUUGAGUGUUCCGGUGAAGCCUCGGGAUUGCAGCUGUUUCCUUUAUUGGGUACAGCCGUGAGAACUUGUCUGAACCUUAACACUUAGAGGAAGGUGAAGUCGUAACA
RNAcentral lists this ribosomal RNA (326 nucleotides) under uncultured eukaryote. Its description in RNAcentral is "partial 18S ribosomal RNA". It matches the Rfam family "Eukaryotic small subunit ribosomal RNA", at positions 1470 to 1796 of the family's 1831-position model. The record is from RNAcentral.